CAUGAGGGUACGAUGUGUUCCACCCUUUCUUUCCUCCAGUUGGAACUCUGUCAAGCAGCAAUGGAGCAAAGGAGACAUGAUUGGCAAAGUAAUUUCUGGAGCUGACAUCUGACGGCUCCCAUCAAAGUCCUCUCUUUCUCCACUGAGAAUGUUGGAUUGUUUUGAAGUCUGCAGGACUGUGGCAGCUCAUAAAGUCCUGAAGAUGGGGCCAUUAAGCUUGGAAAUAACAUUCUGAAGAUUGGUUUGUGGAGCCUGGAUAAACAUGACUGACAAUACUGCACAAUUCAAGGAUUAGUCUUAUUUUUGUUUUGCCUUUAAGGACAAUCCCACCUGGAGGCCAUGAUGAACUAGGAGAUCUCUUUAGAUUGAAGACCUUACAGAAGAGGAAGAGGUGGAGGACGCACCCUUUGCUUUCUUCAGAAGCAUGGAGACAUACUCAUUAUUAGGAGAGAGAUCCAGCAGUUUCUUGGUGCUCUGUGGCUCCUGCAGAGGGAGCUCUACUUGGUCUGGAUUUGCUGUGAGCCUCCUGCUAGGUCCAUGGCUUUAGCACUUUCUUCCCUCACAUGGGCCUGGGAAAACCUCUCAGAGUUUGUAAUAGCAGCAUGUACCUGUCUGUCAACAAAGAAGUCCUAGAUGUGAAAUCACCACCGAGGCAGCUGCCAGGAACAGAGCAGCAAGCUACCCGAGCUUUACAGAGCCACCCAAACCUUUGUGGCUAAGAAGCCAGUUGCAAGCAGCAAUUAAUGACUGGGAUUUCAUUUCCUAUUCUUCAAAGACACCUUCUCAUCACCCUUUUGUAGAGAAUAUAUUACUAAGGACUUCCAGUGAGAACAAGGUGUCAGGGAUUCUUGUAGCAAUUGUGCAAGAAAGACUCAUCAAAAUCACACACAGAAAUCAAGAAAAUUAAGCCAAGUAUACAUGAGUAUGUAUCCACUGCUUAUACUUACAAGGGAGGUACAUCCCGAACUUCAUUAUCAGUGUAUGGUUUGACAUGUCCCUUAUAAUGCAACUCAUUACAUUUACAAAUAAGCCUUCACAGGUGUUGAGAUUAGAAUGGCUGGCUGGACCUUGCCUUUUGUUCACAGAGAGGGAAGAGCAUGUAGGUUCAUUAUGCAUAUGUUUACUUAAACUGGCUCUAUCAGAAAAUGUUUCUCUCUUCUUGCUGAAAAAAUGUGAAGAUGCAUUUCUAAGUCUAUAUGUCAGGGAGUGUCUAAGUGCCUUAGUAGGGCAAUGCCUCUUUUUUUGCACCUUAUUGAAGGAUCUUGGAAAUGAAUCAAAUCCCCUUUUGUCACCACCCUGGGCAAAUGGGGAGUGAAGAUUAGGAAGUUGGGAAAGGAGGGGCAGUCCAAUUGUUUUUAUCCAGGGAAAACUGAAGAUAGUUUCUACAUGUGCAUUCCAGGCCAUAAACUGUCUUUUGAGAUUCAUUCUUGGGAAGAACAUGGAAAAAAAGAAAUGAAUAACUUG
RNAcentral lists this long non-coding RNA (1464 nucleotides) under Heterocephalus glaber (naked mole-rat). Its description in RNAcentral is "lncRNA (ENSHGLG00100042411.1)". The record is from RNAcentral. Lineage: Eukaryota; Metazoa; Chordata; Mammalia; Rodentia; Bathyergidae.